GGCCAGACUCCUACGGGAGGCAGCAGUGAGGAAUAUUGGUCAAUGGUCGGGAGACUGAACCAGCCAAGCCGCGUGAGGGAGGAAGGUACAGAGUAUCGUAAACCUCUUUUGUCAGGGAACAAAGGCGGGGACGUGUCCCCGGAUGAGUGUACCUGAAGAAAAAGCAUCGGCUAACUCCGUGCCAGCAGCCGCGGUAAUACGGAGGAUGCGAGCGUUAUCCGGAUUUAUUGGGUUUAAAGGGUGCGCAGGCGGUCUGUUAAGUCAGCGGUCAAAGCCCGGGGCUCAACCCCGGCCUGCCGUCGGAACUGGGUGCCUUGAGUGGGCGAGAAGUAUGCGGAAUGCGUGGUGUAGCGGUGAAAUGCAUAGAUAUCACGCAGAACUCCGAUUGCGAAGGCAGCAUACCGGCGCUCAACUGACGCUCAUGCACGAAAGCGUGGGUAUCGAACAGGAUUAGAUACCCCAGUAA
RNAcentral lists this ribosomal RNA (466 nucleotides) under uncultured bacterium. Its description in RNAcentral is "bacterial SSU rRNA". It matches the Rfam family "Bacterial small subunit ribosomal RNA", at positions 329 to 793 of the family's 1533-position model. The record is from RNAcentral.